GUGGGGAAUCUUGCGCAAUGGGCGAAAGCCUGACGCAGCCAUGCCGCGUGAACGAUGAAGGCCUUAGGGUUGUAAAGUUCUUUUACCCGUGACGAUGAUGACGGUAACGGGAGAAUAAGCUCCGGCUAACUUCGUGCCAGCAGCCGCGGUAAUACGAAGGGGGCUAGCGUUGUUCGGAAUUACUGGGCGUAAAGCGCGCGCAGGCGGUUCGAUAAGUUGGGGGUGAAAUCCCCGGGCUCAACCCGGGAAUGGCCUUCAAGACUGUCGAGCUAGAGGACGAGAGAGGUGAGUGGAAUUCCCAGUGUAGAGGUGAAAUUCGUAGAUAUUGGGAAGAACACCGGUGGCGAAGGCGGCUCACUGGCUCGUUUCUGACGCUGAGGCGCGAAAGCGUGGGGAGCAAACAGGAUUAGAUACCCCGGUAGUCC
Molecule: ribosomal RNA, 425 nt
Filed under: uncultured bacterium
Lineage: Bacteria
Description: bacterial SSU rRNA
Rfam family: Bacterial small subunit ribosomal RNA
Source: RNAcentral